Molecule: small RNA, 356 nt
Filed under: Histoplasma capsulatum
Lineage: Eukaryota; Fungi; Ascomycota; Eurotiomycetes; Onygenales; Ajellomycetaceae
Also listed under: 1 other name
Description: hypothetical RNA
Source: RNAcentral
UUCCCGGUAACAUCUGAAGCACGAUCCACAUAGGAUUCGAUUUCGCCUCUGAGAGAUUCGAGCCCGUCCUUGAUGGCAUCCAGCACCUGUUCCGUGUCCCUUCCACUUGCCGCAGAAUACUGGCUGAAUUCAUCCUUUAUCUCACCCAAUAAGGAAUGAAGCUGGUCCAAGAACUGAUCACUAAUGUUGUUAUGCAACGACCCGGAAACUUCACCGAACCCGGCCUUUAUGGCAUCUGCAAUAUCUUCUCGAUUGAAUUCAAUCUCUUUGGAAAUACCGUCGUGAGAAGCUAAUCCCUCUUUGACUGCGUUUAAAACAUCGUCGCGGUUGAUUGCAGCUUCUCUAUCAAGCACAGC